This 426-nucleotide ribosomal RNA is filed under the name uncultured bacterium. RNAcentral describes it as "bacterial SSU rRNA". It matches the Rfam family "Bacterial small subunit ribosomal RNA", at positions 355 to 772 of the family's 1533-position model. The record is from RNAcentral.
UGGGGAAUUGUUCGCAAUGGGCGCAAGCCUGACGACGCAACGCCGCGUGGAGGAUGAAGAAUUUCGGUUCGUAAACUCCUGUCGAGCGGGACGAAAGAUGCGCGGGUUAAUACCCCGUGCAAGUGACGGUACCGCUAAAGGAAGCCCCGGCUAACCCCGUGCCAGCAGCCGCGGUAAUACGGGGGGGGCAAGCGUUGUUCGGAAUUACUGGGCGUAAAGGGCGCGUAGGCGGUUUGUUUAGUCAGGCGUGAAAGCUCUGGGCUUAACCUGGGAUGUGCGCUUGAUACUGGCAGGCUUGAGUGUGGGAGAGGUUGGUGGAAUUCCCAGUGUAGAGGUGAAAUUCGUAGAUAUUGGGAAGAACACCGGUGGCGAAGGCGGCCAACUGGACCACAACUGACGCUGAGGCGCGAAAGCGUGGGGAGCAAA